RNAcentral lists this ribosomal RNA (460 nucleotides) under uncultured Thiobacillus sp. RNAcentral describes it as "bacterial SSU rRNA". It matches the Rfam family "Bacterial small subunit ribosomal RNA", at positions 923 to 1382 of the family's 1533-position model. Lineage: Bacteria; Pseudomonadati; Pseudomonadota; Betaproteobacteria; Nitrosomonadales; Thiobacillaceae. The record is from RNAcentral.
GCACAAGCGGUGGAUUAUGUGGAUUAAUUCGAUGCAACGCGAAAACCUUACCUACCCUUGACAUGCUAGGAACUUGCCAGAGAUGGCUUGGUGCCCGAAAGGGAACCUAGACACAGGUGCUGCAUGGCUGUCGUCAGCUCGUGUCGUGAGAUGUUGGGUUAAGUCCCGCAACGAGCGCAACCCUUGUCAUUAAUUGCCAUCAUUCAGUUGGGCACUUUAAUGAGACUGCCGGUGACAAACCGGAGGAAGGUGGGGAUGACGUCAAGUCCCUCAUGGCCCUUAUGGGUAGGGCUUCACACGUAAUACAAUGGUCGGUACAGAGGGUUGCCAACCCGCGAGGGGGAGCCAAUCCCAGAAAACCGAUCGUAGUCCGGAUUGUAGUCUGCAACUCGACUGCAUGAAGUCGGAAUCGCUAGUAAUCGCGGAUCAGCAUGUCGCGGUGAAUACGUUCCCGGGCCUU